This 253-nucleotide ribosomal RNA is filed under the name uncultured bacterium. RNAcentral's name for it is "partial 16S ribosomal RNA". It matches the Rfam family "Bacterial small subunit ribosomal RNA", at positions 524 to 776 of the family's 1533-position model. The record is from RNAcentral.
UACGUAGGGGGCAAGCGUUGUCCGGAAUCAUUGGGCGUAAAGCGCGUGUAGGCGGUUCGGUAAGUCGGCUGUGAAAGUCCAGGGCUCAACCCUGGGAUGCCGGUCGAUACUGCCGGACUAGAGUUCGGAAGAGGCGAGUGGAAUUCCCGGUGUAGCGGUGAAAUGCGUAGAUAUCGUUUGGAACGCCAAUGGUGAAAACAGGUUGCUGGGGAUGUGCUGACGCUGAGACACGAAAGCCAGGGGAGCAAACGGG